AACAUCGCGCACCUGCGGGAACCUGCGGAAGGAUCAUUACAGAGUUGCAAAACUCCCUAAACCAUUGUGAACGUUACCUAAACCGUUGCUUCGGCGGGCGGCCCGGGUCCUUCCCGGCGCCCAUCGGCCCUCGCGGGCGCCCGCCGGAGGUAAACCAAACUAUUGCAUUGUAUGGCCUCUCUGAGUCUUCUGUACUGAAUAAGUCAGAACUUUCAACAACGGAUCUCAGAUCGGAAGAGC
Molecule: unclassified non-coding RNA, 240 nt
Filed under: soil metagenome
Description: partial contains 5.8S ribosomal RNA, internal transcribed spacer 2, and large subunit ribosomal RNA
Source: RNAcentral